ACAAACUUGUCCCCAAUUCUUCUAUUUUAAAACUAUUGGGGACGAUUUUUCUUAUAUAGUAUAGUGAAUCCGAUCCAAAAUAAUAGAGACCAAAAAUUUAGCUAAUAAACAAGAGAACUUAAAAAAAAUAGCAGUAUUUAAUUUUUAUGAGUUGGAAAGGGAAAAAAAGUGACGGCAAUUAGGUUUUUUUUAUUAGUAAAGCAGAGUAAAUUUCACAAUCUUCUCCAUCAAAUUCACCUGAUCUAAGAGUGGAGUCUGUUGCCGACGAGCAUUGUGGAAUUUAUGUUUAUUACACGUUCUAUCGUUUUAUCUGGUUUAUUACCGGGUUCUAGAGCAAGAUCACUCUCAUUUCUUAGCGUUGGUCUCGAUGUCAAGGAAAUCGGGCCGUGACACCUACACCACAAGACGAGCCUUAAAAACUCAUUUACAACCAAUGAUAUUCGCUGAAUGUGAUGGUGGUGGAACAAGGGGACCAUGUAUCAUUUGCGAGAAGAGCUCGAUACUCAGAAUUCAUGGCAUCGCGGCAAUGUUGAUGUUUAUUAGCUUCCUUAAAUGAUGUAGGCUCAAGAGAGUUGGAGCUGGAAAUUUCAAACUUAAAGUAAAUAAUAUUCUUUAUUUUUCUGGUUCCAUCUUGAGUACGGGUUAUCAUUAGAUGGACAUUUGAAUAUAUUAUUUGGAACAAGCCAUGUAUGUAUAGAAUGAGUUUUUUGUGCAUUUGAGCUUGAAGGAGAAGAUAAAAAUAAAAGAAUUGUGAGAA
This is a long non-coding RNA of Mercurialis annua (annual mercury), 757 nucleotides long. RefSeq lists it as uncharacterized. Lineage: Eukaryota; Viridiplantae; Streptophyta; Magnoliopsida; Malpighiales; Euphorbiaceae. The record is from RefSeq and is a predicted model, not a curated record. The transcript has 2 exons.